Molecule: small nuclear RNA, 104 nt
Organism: Dipodomys spectabilis (banner-tailed kangaroo rat)
Lineage: Eukaryota; Metazoa; Chordata; Mammalia; Rodentia; Heteromyidae
Source: RefSeq, a predicted model, not a curated record
AUACUACACGCUUCAGCAGGACAUUUACCCAAAUUACAAUAUAGAAAUUAUCAUGGCACUUGCACAAGGAUGAUAUGAAAAUUUGUGAAGUAUUCCAUAUUUUU